Molecule: long non-coding RNA, 630 nt
Organism: Patella vulgata (common limpet)
Lineage: Eukaryota; Metazoa; Mollusca; Gastropoda; Patellidae
Exons: 6
Source: RefSeq, a predicted model, not a curated record
UUGUUUGAAUAUACAUUACGCUACACGGCACAUCUAUUCAUUCAAACAAAAUCUACACCAAAUAAGAACUAUUCGCUGUAUUUUAUAAAAGCAGAUCAUUACGAUGAAUAGAGUAAUAUCUUUGGUUGUAUGUCUGGUGAUGAUGACGUCACUUGGUAAUGGGUCAAAUUGCAAUUCGAGGGCGUUUCAUGGAAGCUAUCUGGAUGUGAAUGCUGUUUUAUCUGCUGUUGAUGUAAAUAACGAUGGUAAAAUAACCCUGACUGAAGACAGAAACAGUGUCCUGCUCGGCGAUUCAUCCAAGGAUGGUAAAACAUCGAGAGCAGAAUUUGUCAACAGAUUGGUCCAUGUUUUCUGUUAUCCAAAGAUGUUGGCCAGUUAUGGUUUCGAUAUGCUGGACAGGAAUAACGAUCGCUUCCUCACAGGCGACGAUGUAAUAGCAUCACGAUUUGGUGCAUCUGGGGAGCUCGAUCGUUCAGUUUUGGCAGUGGGUUUACGACGUCUGGAUACUCGUGCAAGAGAAUUAGACAGAAAAUAUAAGACAUUAUUUGCGAUGGUGCAACAAAGAUAUGACGGACCAGGCAGUUGGUGAUUAUCCGGUCAAUGUUUAUUUAAUUGAUUUAACAGAUAAAU